AGAGUUUGAUCCUGGCUCAGGAUGAACGCUAGCGGGAGGCCUAACACAUGCAAGUCGAGCGGGAUUCACUUUCGGGUGAUGAGAGCGGCGCAUGGGUGCGUAACGCGUAUGCAACCUACCUCUAACAGGGGGAUAGCCCGUUGAAAGACGGAUUAAUACCCCAUAGUAUUAUUGAAUCGCAUGGUUUAAUAAUUAAAGCUCCGGCGGUUAGAGAUGGGCAUGCGUGACAUUAGUUAGUUGGCGAGGUAACGGCUCACCAAGACUACGAUGUCUAGGGGUUCUGAGAGGAUGAUCCCCCACACUGGUACUGAGACACGGACCAGACUCCUACGGGAGGCAGCAGUGAGGAAUAUUGGUCAAUGGGCGCAAGCCUGAACCAGCCAUCCCGCGUGAAGGAAGACUGUCCUAUGGAUUGUAAACUUCUUUUGUGCACCAAGAAUGUGUCCUACGUGUAGGGCUUUGACGGUAGUGCAUGAAUAAGCAUCGGCUAACUCCGUGCCAGCAGCCGCGGUAAUACGGAGGAUGCAAGCGUUAUCCGGAUUCAUUGGGUUUAAAGGGUACGUAGGCGGCUUUUUAAGUCAGUGGUGAAAGUUUGCGGCUGUAACCGUAAAAUUGCCAUUGAUACUGAAGAGCUUGAGUACAGUUGAGGUAGGCGGAAUGUGUAGUGUAGCGGUGAAAUGCUUAGAUAUUACACAGAACUCCGAUUACGAAGGCAGCUUACUAAACUGAGACUGACGCUGAGGUACGAAAGCGUGGGGAGCGAACAGGAUUAGAUACCCUGGUAGUCCACGCCGUAAACGAUGUUCACUCGCUGUUUGCGAUAUAUUGCAAGCGGCCAAGCGAAAGCAUUAAGUGAACCACCUGGGGAGUACGCCGGCAACGGUGAAACUCAAAGGAAUUGACGGGGGCCCGCACAAGCGGAGGAACAUGUGGUUUAAUUCGAUGAUACGCGAGGAACCUUACCUGGGCUUAAAUGGGGAGUGACAGACUUGGAAACAGGUUUUUCUUCGGACACUCUUCAAGG
Molecule: ribosomal RNA, 1024 nt
Filed under: Sunxiuqinia sp. FOUR-4
Lineage: Bacteria; Pseudomonadati; Bacteroidota; Bacteroidia; Marinilabiliales; Prolixibacteraceae
Description: bacterial SSU rRNA
Rfam family: Bacterial small subunit ribosomal RNA
Source: RNAcentral